This is a long non-coding RNA of Prinia subflava (tawny-flanked prinia), 574 nucleotides long. RefSeq lists it as uncharacterized. The transcript has 4 exons. The record is from RefSeq and is a predicted model, not a curated record. NCBI's taxonomy places the organism in Eukaryota, Metazoa, Chordata, Aves, Passeriformes, Cisticolidae.
GGCCGGCGGGGCGGGGAGGGCCCGGGGCGGCCCGGGGGGAGAAGCGCCGCGCUGCUUUCUGUGGGAGGCCGGGCCCGGAGGGGCUCAUCGCCUGCCCACAGGCACGGCCGCGCGGAAAGCAGGGCUAAAGCUCAGCACAGCAGUGAAGUGGUGAGAACACAGCCUGGUUUGGCUUUCGAGCACUGCAGAGGGCUGUGAGGACACCUAAGCUGCAGGUAAUCCUGUGAAGUAGGAAACAGCUGAUUUUAAGUGUGUAAAAUCCUCUCUUAGCAAUGGAUGUGACAGUUCUUGUGAUAGCUCUGCAGACACUGGGUGCGCUGCAUGUCUGCGCAUGGAUCUUGGAGACAUCUGAGAUGGGAAAAUACUGCAUCACACAGUCUCUGGUUACCAAGGCAAAGGCAGAAAGAAAAUCCAUCAGACAAUAGAGAAGAUGGAAGAGUUGAGUCUAACCAAUUUCAAGUACCUUAAAACUAACAGCGAGGGCCCCUUAGCACCACUGUCCAGGCUGUGGUGGCCCAGAGUUGGAAUCAGAACUGCAGAAGGUGACCCUAAAUAAACUUGCUGCUGGACUUAC